AGUGAACGCUGGCGGUAGGCCUAACACAUGCAAGUCGAACGGCAGCACAGUAAGAGCUUGCUCUUACGGGUGGCGAGUGGCGGACGGGUGAGGAAUACAUCGGAAUCUACUUUUUCGUGGGGGAUAACGUAGGGAAACUUACGCUAAUACCGCAUACGACCUACGGGUGAAAGCAGGGGAUCUUCGGACCUUGCGCGAUUGAAUGAGCCGAUGUCGGAUUAGCUAGUUGGCGGGGUAAAGGCCCACCAAGGCGACGAUCCGUAGCUGGUCUGAGAGGAUGAUCAGCCACACUGGAACUGAGACACGGUCCAGACUCCUACGGGAGGCAACAGUGGGGAAUAUUGGACAAUGGGCGCAAGCCUGAUCCAGCCAUACCGCGUGGGUGAAGAAGGCCUUCGGGUUGUAAAGCCCUUUUGUUGGGAAAGAAAAGCAGUAGGUUAAUACCCCGCUGUUCUGACGGUACCCAAAGAAUAAGCACCGGCUAACUUCGUG
RNAcentral lists this ribosomal RNA (492 nucleotides) under uncultured bacterium. RNAcentral describes it as "partial 16S ribosomal RNA". It matches the Rfam family "Bacterial small subunit ribosomal RNA", at positions 29 to 507 of the family's 1533-position model. The record is from RNAcentral.